This 440-nucleotide ribosomal RNA is filed under the name uncultured bacterium. RNAcentral describes it as "bacterial SSU rRNA". It matches the Rfam family "Bacterial small subunit ribosomal RNA", at positions 338 to 795 of the family's 1533-position model. The record is from RNAcentral.
CCUACGGGUGGCAGCAGUGGGGAAUAUUGCACAAUGGGGGAAACCCUGAUGCAGCGACGCCGCGUGGAGGAAGAAGGCCUUCGGGUUGUAAACUCCUGUCGUAAGGGACGAUAGUGACGGUACCUUACAAGAAAGCCACGGCUAACUACGUGCCAGCAGCCGCGGUAAAACGUAGGUGGCAAGCGUUGUCCGGAAUUACUGGGUGUAAAGGGAGCGCAGGCGGGUCUGCAAGUUGGAAGUGAAACCCAUGGGCUCAACCCAUGAACUGCUUUCAAAACUGCGGAUCUUGAGUGGUGUAGAGGUAGGCGGAAUUCCCGGUGUAGCGGUGGAAUGCGUAGAUAUCGGGAGGAACACCAGUGGCGAAGGCGGCCUACUGGGCACUAACUGACGCUGAGGCUCGAAAGCAUGGGUAGCAAACAGGAUUAGAUACCCCAGUAGUC